UACGUAGGGUGCAAGCGUUAAUCGGAAUUACUGGGCGUAAAGCGUGCGCAGGCGGUUAUGUAAGACAGUUGUGAAAUCCCCGGGCUCAACCUGGGAACUGCAUCUGUGACUGCAUAGCUAGAGUACGGUAGAGGGGGAUGGAAUUCCGCGUGUAGCAGUGAAAUGCGUAGAUAUCGAGAGGAACACCUGCGGCGAAGGCGGGUUGCUGGGCUGACACUGACGCUGAAGCGCGAAAGCUAGGGGAGCGAACGGG
Molecule: ribosomal RNA, 253 nt
Filed under: uncultured bacterium
Lineage: Bacteria
Description: partial 16S ribosomal RNA
Rfam family: Bacterial small subunit ribosomal RNA
Source: RNAcentral